This 881-nucleotide long non-coding RNA is filed under the name Malus domestica (apple). RNAcentral's name for it is "long non-coding RNA (MDOM_LNC013541)". The record is from RNAcentral. Lineage: Eukaryota; Viridiplantae; Streptophyta; Magnoliopsida; Rosales; Rosaceae.
AGAAAUAAAUAAAAGCCCAAAGCCCAAACCAACACAAAGGGGCCGGCCCUUUAAAGUGGAGAGGGAGAGAUAUUUAGUCAAGUGGUUAACUAGGUUUCUUUUUUGUCUAUAUAAGGAACAUUAUAGAGAUUUAAUCCUUAGGGUUUUUUGUGUGUUUUAAAACAACAAAGAGGCAAAGAAACAUCUCUCAAAAACCACAAAAGGCCGGCCACCUUGAGGGUGAUUUAGCUAACAAUCUUUCACCCUUUUGGUUAUUUCCUCCAUCCAUCUCACUACACUAGUGGGUGUGGAUAUUUAGAGGUCUUCUCCUUUGGAGACUAAAGGAGAACCUUGGAGCACUCUUACUAACAAAGUGGAGGAGGCAAGGAGGGAGGCUAGGCUCAAGGACUUCAAGGAGCAAAGGACUUGGAGGUGGUCCAUCCUUGGUCUAAAAUCAAGAUCAAGAGGUAUAGAUCUAAACUUUCACUUAGUUCUUUACUUGAAUGUUUUAGAUGCAUUAUAUAUAAACCUAUGAACCUUGAAGGGGAUUUGCAUGACUAUAACUUUGAUAUUAUUUGAUAAAUUGCUUCCGUUGCUCAUGUAUAUAAAUCUUGAAUUGUAUAUGCAUGCUAGUCAUUUAGAAAUCCCAUGUGUUAAGCUCAUAAUUUUCCCUUCAGGGUAACCAUGACAUGCUGCUAGGUGUCACUCAUGGUUUGUGGAAGCCCUGAUGAUUAGAAAAACACUAAUUUUAAGGGAGAAUUGAAAUGUGGUUUCAAUUCACAAUCGAUCGUUAAGAGUAACAAUCGCCCACUACCUCGCUAAAUGGAACCUAAUGGAUCGUACACCGAGUAAGGAUGAAAGUGAAUAAAUUAAAUGAAAUGGAUAUGCAAUUAAAUGGUUUA